This 555-nucleotide unclassified non-coding RNA is filed under the name Hevea brasiliensis (rubber tree). Lineage: Eukaryota; Viridiplantae; Streptophyta; Magnoliopsida; Malpighiales; Euphorbiaceae. The record is from RNAcentral.
UUCUCCCUAGUCGGAUUUUUGUAGUACUUUGUAGCAAGGAUAGACAAUGAAAAGAGUCACCUUAUUCAACAAAAAUCCGACUAGGGAGAAGCAACGGCUGCAAAUAAGCAAGUUACAUAAGAAUCCUUCCUGUUUACAUGUCCAUAUAGAAGCAGUUGCAGAAAAGAAGACUAAUAACUCAAUUUCUUCCUUCUAGGCAAAACUGAUAUAGCAGAGCAAUCAUCUACUUCUCUGACGCCAUAUCAGUUGAUGAACCUAUAUGUAUGCCUGAUCUUGCGCAGACUUCGCUUGAAGGUCCAGUACUAGGACAAUAUCAUAGCUGUAUGGCAGCUGAAAAACAUGACAAUUGGCAGCAAUAAUUCCUCAUUUUUAUCAGUGGUAACUGGCGGCUAUGAAUGUCUGAAACUCUCGCAGCCUGGGCAGUUAUGCAAGCUCUCAUGAAUGUAAAUAUCACAAUCAACACAGAAGUACUGUUUGCAUUUUGGGCAAACAACAGAAAGGCCAGGCUUGUUGCCAGGAUUGAGGAGGCUCUGUUGGCAGCCAAAACAAGUUUUC